AUUCAUUUUUCUUCAUCUUCGUCCCAAAAUCGAAAACACGUUCAUCACACAAAAAUCGUUCCAAACCCAAUUCAAAAUCGAAAUCGAAAUCCAUUCAAAAUAUUGAGUUCAUCAUCUCAAAAUCGAAGACAUGUUCUUCCAUUCAAAAUCGAAAACAUGUUCUUCCAUGCAGUUUGAAAUCGAAAUCCAAUUCCGCUUUGAACCAGUUCGUAUGAUUCACUCCUCCCUUGUUCCCAAAUCGUUCUCAAAUCACAAAGAUUGAGUGUUGUAAUCAUCCAUAUAUUAUUGAUGAAUCCCUGCAACCUUUACUACUAAAGGGCCUUGAGGAAGUUGUGUAUCCGAGUCAAAAAAGAAAAAGCAGUUGCAUAUCUGAAUGUCGGAAUAAAAGCAAGUGGCAAGCUGCAACUACUUGAUUCAAUGCUCACGGAGUUGAUAACAAAUAAAUUAAGGGCACUCAUACUUUUUCAGGGUAGAACUGAUUCAUGUUUCAGUUUGUUACUCAUUCAUUCAUGUCCAAGACUCGCCUUCCAGUUCUAUUAUCGCGUGUUGGUGCUGGCUGCUCGCAACUGCUCUCAUAUAUGCAGGCUUUCAAGAUCCAAAGACUUCGGAGGAGCAACAGAGUUGCAUCAGAGGACAUGCCUAAUUUUUGUCUCUUGAGGUAGGGGCCGGUGUUAAUAGGUGCUGCUGCUGGUGUGGUGUGUGAUUUUCUGCUAAUUUUCGCAGGCCUAUGUCAGUCUUCUGCUGCUUGCGGUUGGUUUUCUUGGUGUUCCAAUUCUGUUCGGUUUUGGAAGGGUUGGGGGCUGUUUAGUUCGACAUUCUAUCUAAGUUUGGGAAAAUUUGUUGUUGGCAGCAGUGCUGCAUUUUUGUGCUGGCAGCAGAGAAGGAGUUUUCAUGUCACAGGGAAUCCUUGUCAUAGGGAUUUUGAGGUAGGGGUAUGCUUUCGGUUUUCUAUUGUCUGUUGGUAUACUUCGGCCUCAUUAUUUAGAAUCGUUUUGGGAGCUUGGGCUGUUGGUGUUCCGUAUAUUUGCGGCGCCAUUUGUAUCUUUUCUUUAGUUCGACUCUCAUGUGCAUUGUGCGGAUUAUUUAUGUGAUAUUUUUGUCUUUAUACUGA
Molecule: long non-coding RNA, 1111 nt
Organism: Medicago truncatula (barrel medic)
Lineage: Eukaryota; Viridiplantae; Streptophyta; Magnoliopsida; Fabales; Fabaceae
Exons: 4
Source: RefSeq, a predicted model, not a curated record